Molecule: non-coding RNA, 5984 nt
Organism: Leptonychotes weddellii (Weddell seal)
Lineage: Eukaryota; Metazoa; Chordata; Mammalia; Carnivora; Phocidae
Source: RefSeq, a predicted model, not a curated record
UUCUACAAGUAUAAUUCAUGUGUGAGCAAUAUUAUUUCUAUUUUGUUAUAUUAUUUACAUAUAUGAUCCUGUGUGUUUGUAGGAAAUCAUAAGCCUGCUGAGAGAAUGUGUGUCUCUUCAGUACUGACCUGGUAUCUGGGAGCUCAAACAUGAAAUAGAACAAGCUUCCUUUUUAGUCCCUACAAAGUUUAAAAUGGUGGCAAUAAAGAUCAGGAGUGUGAUCUUAGAAACUUAGGAGCAGCUUUGUUUUUCUUGUAUAGGAAAGCUCUGUAAUAAUUUAUCUUUAGCCUGCUUUGCACAUAGUAGGUACUCAUCAUAUAUCAUUUGAUUAUAAUGACCAGAAAAAGUUGGCAAAGAAUUUCAUUUCUUUGGUUGAUCUUAAAGCAGUGUCAUUUUUGAGUGACUUGACUUAUAAAGAUUUCUUCUCAUUUCUCUACUUUUUUUUCUUUUUCACAUUUUUUAUGUCAUUUUUGAAACUUUAUGGGAUGACACUUUCUCUUGUUGAGCUAUCUGUUUAAGAUAAAGAGUUGUCAUUCAUAGUGGUCCUAGUUGGGCAGGUCAGUCUUGACAUGUGAGAACAGGAUGCAGCAGUAUUGGAGAUUUCUUCCUAGAGAUCAGGCAGAAAUUUGCUAUUGCAACAGGUGGUGAUAUAGAUGCUUCCUCGGUGUUAUCUCAUCAUCUGUGUGCUUCCUUUUUAAUUAUUUGUCAAGAUCGUGAUCCUCUGAUUUCAUGUGGUCAGUUAAAAAGAGUUUUAGCUUUCUUGAGCCGCUCCCAUGCAGUCCCUGCCCACCCUGGUCUAUAGUGCUUGCAGCUUUUCUCCUUUACGAUGCCUGAGGAAGUGCACCAUGGAGAGGAGGAGGUGGAGACUUGCCUUCCAGACAGAAAUUGCCCAGUUCAUGUUUCUUGUCAUCAAUACCUUCUGUUCCAAGGAGGAAAUUUUCCUUUGGGAAUUGAUCAGUAGUGCAUGGACAAGAUUCUCUAUCAGAGCCUGACAGACCCUUCUAAGUUGGACAGUGUUAAAAAACUGAAACCCCUAGGAAUACACCCUGACUCCGGUGGACACAGGCCUUUACAUAACCAAAGCUGACCUCAUAAAUAAUUUGGGAGCCAUUGCCAAGUUGGGUACUAAAGCAUUUAUGGAGCCUCUUUAGGCUGAUGCAGACCUCUCUGUGAUUGGACAGUUUGGUGUUGGCUGUUAUUCUGCCUCCAUGGUGGCAGAGAAAGUGACUGUGAUCACGAAGCAUAGUGAUGAUGAGUAGUGUGCCUGGGAGUCUUCUGCUGGGACUCCCUCACUAUAUAUGUGGACCAUGAUGAGCCCAUUGGCCGGGCUACCAAAGUGGUCCUCCACCUUAAAGAAGACCAGAGUACUUGGGAGAGGCUGGUCAAAGAAGUGGUGAAGAAGCACUCACAGUUAUCCCAUCACCCUUUAUUUGGAGAAGGAACAAGAGAAAGAAAUCAUUGAUAGUGAGGCAGAGGAAUAGAAAGGUGAGAAAGGAGAUAAAGAUAAUGAGAAACCCAAGACUGAAGAUGUGGGCUCAGGUGAGGAGGAUGAUAGCAGGAAGGACAACAAAAAGAGAACAAAGAAGAUUAAGGAGAAAUGUAUUUAUCAGGAAGAACUGAACAAGACAGGCUCAUUUGGACCAGAAACUCUGGUGACAUCACCCAGGGGGAAUAUGGAGGGUUCUACAAGAGUCCUACCAAUGACUGGGAAGACCACUUGGUAGUCAAGCACUUAUCUCUAGAAGGUGAGUUAGAGUUUAGAGCAUUGCUGUUCAUUCCCUGUUGGGCUCCUUUUGAUUUCUGAGAACAAGAAUAAAAAGAACAAUAUCAGACUCAGUCUGCUGUCUGUUCAUCAUGGACAGCUGUGAUGAAUUGAUAAGAGAGUAUCUCAACUUCAUCCAUGGUUGUGGUUGACUCUGAGUACCUGCCUCUGAACAUUGCCCAUGAAACACUGCAACAGAGCAAAAUCUCCAAGAUCAUUUGCAAAAAUACUGUGAACAUGUGCCUUGAGCUCUUUGAGGUGGCAGAAGACAAGGAGAACUAUAUAAGAAAUUGUAUGAGCCAAUCUCUAAAAAUUUAAAAGCUUAGAAUCCAUGAGGACUGGACUAAUUGGCUACUCCUUUCUGAGCUGCUGUGUUACCACACCUCCUAGUCUAGAAAGGAGAGGACUUCUCUUUCAGAAUAUGUCUCUCACAUGAAGCAGACCCAGAAGUCCACCUGUUACAUCACUGGUGAGAGCAAAGAGCAGGUUGUCAACUCUGCUCUUGUGGAGCAAAUGCAGAAGCAGGGCUUUGAGGUAGUUUAGAUAACCGAGCCUAUUGACGUAUACUGCAUGCAGCAGCUCAAGGAGUUUGAUGUGAAGAGCCUGGUCUCCUGUUACCAAGGAGGGCAUGGAGCUGCCUGAGAAUGAAGAGGAGAAGAAGAAAGUGGAGGAGAACAAGGCCGUUUGAGAACCUCUGCAAAUUCAUGAAAGAAAUCUUAGAUAAGAAGGUAAAAAAGGUGACAGUUUCCAAUAGGCUUAGGUCUUCACCCUGCUGCAUUGUGACUAGCACCUACACUUGGACAGCUAACAUGGAGCACAUCAGAAAAGCCCAGGCACUUUGGGAUAACUCUGCAACGGGCUGUAGGAUGACCAGAAAGCACCUGGAGCUCAACCCUGACCACCCCAUUGUGGAGACACUGCAGCAGAAGGCAGAGGCCGACGAGAAUGACAAGGUCAUCAAGGACUUGGUGGUGCUGGUGUUUGAAACGACACUUCUCUCUUCUGGCUUCUCACUUGAGGAUCCCCAGACCCACUCCAGCAGUUAUCCACUUCAUGGUCAAGUAAGGGCUGGGCAUUGAUACAGAUGAAGUGACAGCACAGAAACCCAGCGCUGCUCUUCCUGAUGAGAUCCUCCCCCUUGAGGCUGAUGAAGGAUGCCUUUCCCGUGGAACAAGUAGAUUAGGAGUUUCUACCUGCAGACCUUGUGCCCUCUGUAUAGUGUCCCCAUGGCUUCCCCAGUGGCCUUGAGUGGCCCUGGCCCACCUGGUUCCCUCUGCUGAUUCCAAGUGGGUUUUUCCCCUCCUGUCUUUCUGUCUAAGGCAGGAUACAAGGGCCCUGAGCGCUAUCUUUUCCCACAUCUGACAUUGGGUUUGGAUGUGUGUUGUGGGGUUUUUGUUUAUUUUGUUAGGAAAUCAAAGAUGUGAAAUAAAGAAGACGCAGUUUUAUACAAAAAAGAAGAAGAAGAAGAAGAAGGGUUUUGGAAGAUUCCUAAUAACAUUGACGUUAGUAGAUCACGUACAUUUAUGAAUAACUUACUAUGUGCCAGGCUAUGUUCAAGGGACUAGAGAUACAAUUGAGAAUAUUAUGAUCAAGAUGGAAUGAAAUGAAAUGAUGAAGGCUUCCAAGAUUCAGGAAGUAGGGUGAAUAUGUCUUAAAUUGUAAUAAGCAUUAUUUUCUUUGUCUUUAAAAAAAAAGACCAAGAACCUUACUGUUCAGAAGUGUUAAGUCUGCUAAAAGAGUCAGAAAAUCAGAAAACAAUGUAAGUGCCACAGUUUUUAAAUCCAAAUUCUGUUAAGAAGCUGAGUUUUGGAGAUUUAAGCAGCUUUCCCGAGCUCGUGUAACUGGCUAAUGGCAGAGCCAGGCCCAAAGCCCGCUGCAUACUUACUAAUUUACUUGUUAACUUUUAGAAGUAAUAUGUGUGACCUCAAUUGUCUUCUUUUUCUUCACUUCUCAGAUAAAUCAGUUAAUAGUUUAAGCAAUUUUUCUAAGUAAUUACCAUAUUUUAAUUUUAUCUUCUAUAUAAUUUUUAUCUUCUGUUGGAAUUUUAUCUCAUUUCUUGUUUUAUCAACUUUAGACAUUAUCUGAGGUCUUCUUACUGAAAAAUGAGGAACUUGGUUUGCUCAUACUAUCUCCCACAUCACCUUCAUCUCUUCACAUUCUGGUUUUUGUAAUGUAAAUUUUAUAGACUUUUAGUGAUUUCUCUGUAAAUUUCAGCUGACUCCUCAUUACUUCCUUUCCUUCCCUCUUUCUUCCCAUACUCUCAAUUUUCAUUAAUUAUGACCCUUGACAAUAAAAUGCAAAUGUUAAUUCUUCUGUAUAUAUACUUCAAUGCUUUGCUACUGGUUGACUUGGAAAAUUAAAUCCAGUAGACAGCAUUUACAAUAUUAUGACUAUGUAAGUAUUCAAAAUAGAACCAAAUACAGUGGUGAAUAGAGUCACAUAAAAGCAAAUAGAAAACUGAAUUACUUAAAACUUUCCCAAGGGAGUCUUCCAACUAUCUCUGCUUAAUGGAAUCUUUUUUGUUUUGUCCUGGUUUUCUUCCCAUUUUCUAAGUCCUCUCAACUGCUGCUGUUUCUUGUAUUCUAUGUGUUUUGCUUUCUUGAAUUACUUUUGCUGGAGUACUUUCUUAAGUAAUUUUUUUCAUAAAGGACGCUUGGGUGGUAAACUUAUCAAGUUAACACUGUUGAAAAUCUCUCUGUUGUACUCUUGUAUUUAAUUGGUAAUUUGAGAAUGCAGAAUAGACACAAAAUCAAUAUACAUACUACAGAUUAUCCAUAUGCUCUCAUUCAUUUCUCCACACACAUUUUACACUUUCUUCCUGUUCUAGAUAGCUUCUUCCAUGUCGAUGUUUGAAAUCAUUGCAACAGUUCCUGGUUGCUGUUUCAAGGUCUUUAAAUGCUGUUUGGUAAAGUUGUGAAAGUUUUUCUUUCCCAGUGUCCCAGAGCAAAUUAUCACACGUUAAUUCUGAGUUUUAAGGAGGCCACAUUAUGUCAGCUUUAUGUCCAAUCCAUCAACCACUGAAUUUGUCUGGAAGAUACUCUUACUGGAAAAGCGUAAGGUACUGGGCUCCCUCGUUGUUGCAGGAUAGUUGUUGCCUUGAAACUGUAGGCAUCAGGCCACAUCUGAAACAUGUUCAAGUCAGCACCCAUCAUGACAGUCACUUUUAGAACAUUUUCAUUACACCAAAAAGAAACCUCGGACUCAUUAGUAGUCACUCCCACUGCCUCCCAAGGACCGCCACCACCACCCUGAGCCAUAAACACCCAAAAUGUGGUCUCUCAUGACUGAUGUCUUUCACUUUGCAUAAUGUGUUCAAGGUUCAUCCAUGCUGUAGCAUGUAGCAGUGUUGGUAGAUGCUUAAUCUCUUGAAAGUCCUCGUUAUUCAACAUCUUUUAAAAAAUACUUUUCCAAUAUCAAGUACUUCUAGGUGGUUUUUGCUUUAUAAUCUAGUCAGUUUCCCUGUUAAUAAUGUCAGCACUUCAGUUGUUAACUGAUAGAUUCAGAGAUUUGUUGCUGUAUGAGUUAACGACAUCUACCCAUUCUGCAGUAAAAACUUCUCACUUUGCUUUUCUGCAUCUAGGAGAUAGACCUAAUCCAAAUAGACCUACUUUCAAAAGAUGUUAGACAUAACUAUUACAGUCCAGGGAGUUUUAUGCUGUUUACAUUGAUUCUGUUUUAUGAUUUUAUUCUUUUUUUGUAGUAUUUUCUUGGAUAUGAUAGAAACAAUUUGAGGAGCUUUUAUAUAUUUCUGAAGAGAUUUGUAUCUGUGGUAAAGUGUUUCAUGUAUAUUCUUUGUUCUACUCAUAGCCUUUUGAAAUAUCUUUUUCCAAUGUGUUAAGUCAAAACUUACCCCAAAUCAUUUGAUCCCUUGUUCAGAGAGCUAAGAUCUUAAAGGAAUUGAUUGCCUAACACAUCGAACAUCCAGAAUCAGUGCUCUUGGUUUGACCACACUAACUCCAUUUAAACCUGAGCAAUUUUUCUUGAUACUUAGUUGUUAUCUUUCUAAGUAUUUUAAGUUGGGACAUGUGGAAAAGUUUUCUUUGGCCAUUUAUUGGAAGCUGAAUCACAUAUCAGUAACACUGAGUAAAAGCAUUCUUCCUUCUUGAAAUGUCUAUAGUUUUUUGUUUUGUUUUACCAAAUACCUGUAGAUUAAAUUGUUAUUUGAAGACGUUCUCAGAGAGGUUCUUAACUAUUCAAAUUGUUAAUGUGCUUUGAUUUUCUU